Molecule: long non-coding RNA, 4546 nt
Organism: Zonotrichia leucophrys gambelii
Lineage: Eukaryota; Metazoa; Chordata; Aves; Passeriformes; Passerellidae
Exons: 4
Source: RefSeq, a predicted model, not a curated record
GUUCCCUGAGCUGUGGGAUCAUGGAUGGUGUGGAGGAAAUGGAGAAGAAGAUGAGUUAUCAGAGAGAAACUAGACAAAGGAGGAAAAAGCCUCAUCCAAUCACCUGUUGACCUUACAUGUGGCCACCAGGGAGUGAAGGGCAGUGGUGGGGCUGCUGGAACCUUUUGGAGGGGUUGUGUCAAACCUGAGGUUUCAGCUCAGCUGCGUGACAUUGGGAGAUUGCAGGACUAGUGGAGACUGAGAGGAAUGCCAAGUAUUUCAUGGGUUCCUGCUCUCCUCUGCCUUGGUUGCUUUAUCUCAGUCCCGUGCUGUGUCUCACCAGCCUGAAGUGAGAAGCAAAACCUCAGCCAGUGAGUGAUCACAGUGCCUGGGUGAAGAGGGAAGGUUAUGCUACUCUUGCCCCAAAGAAGCAGACAAACCUGCACUUGCACAUCCAUGCUGCUCCCUCUUGAUGUAAUAGGAUGUAAGAGGAGGGAUGGAAAAGAGACCAGAUGUACCAGGAGAGUGCUGACACAUCUGCUCAGCCACCACAGCAUCUCUUUUCCUCCUCAGAUGAGAAGCUUAAAUACUGAGGAUCUCUCCCGUCCUUUGUCACACAGACACAUCAGGACCUUCCUUUCCAGGAGUGCAUGCCCAGCCCAGUUGUGUGCUCGAGGAGGUUCCAGCAGCUGCUGUGAGCCUGGAUGCUGGCUGGAGCUCCCAGCUCCCAGUUAUCUGCUGAGACAGAUUGGCUCGGUCAUCUGCAGUCUUCUCUCCAGGCACGUGUCCUGCAGGACAUCGGUGCCAAAUCUUCCCAAACACCCUCUGGGAACCAGGCUACAGUGGCCAGCUACAAACCUUCAAAAGAAUUAAAAACUGAGAAGAAAUAGGUAUUCAAAAUAGGGAGUAGUGACAACUUAAACUGAAAAUUAUGCUUUAAUUACAGCCAGUAAUUGAAACAAACAACAGGAGUUUGUAUCCAGAUCUCUGUUACUGCCCUGCAUUUUGCCUAGACUGUGUGCAAUUUCUUCUGAGUGACCUUACCUGAGCACUCCCUACACUUCUGAAUUAAUCUUUAUUUACUUUGCUGCAAAGCUUUGUCCCUGCAUGUCUUUUUUUUACAAUUUUUUUCUGUUCUGAAGCACUUGUCAGAAAAGCCUGCUAAGCCAAGCACCGAGCAUAGGGUUUAGUGCUGCUCCAGCCACUGAAAACAUCACGCUGCUGGGAGAGGAGAGAAAGAAUAAAGCCACUCUGCCUUUCUUUCUGCCCCUCUAAUCUAGGAUUUCUCCUAGAGGCAGAGUGCCCUCUGAGAUAAUUUAGCCUUGGAAACUGGCUGUCUGGAGGAGCAAGGUGCUCACUUCCACGUCCUUCACCAGGUGAUGUGCUGGGGUACGUGAUACUGCCCUGAAACCUGCAGGGAGAAGAGCCCCUGUGCAGAAGGGCAUACACACCUUUUAUAACUGUGAGAAGGUCCUUAAUCUGCCUUUUGUAUUUUCAUUGUCAUCUUCACAUUCUUGCCAGGCAAGAUGACCUUUCAUUAAAGGUGCCCUGCACUCCCUUCAGACAUAUUUGAGUUGUACAUCCCUCUAAGCUCAGCUUGCACUUGUGUGGCCUUUGACAGGGAUAGGUGGGAAGCUGCAAAGGAAUGGAAAAAGUAGUUUUUAACACCUGAAAACUACCAUGGACUAGAAAGAUGGCAAUGCUGAACAAAGAAACCAGUGCAAGGAAAAGGAACAGGAGCACAGUUAUCGUUUGGUGGUGGGCCUUAGGCCUUUUGUGCUGGUGAAGUUUCUUCUGCCCUAAUUCUUCUCCAGGGAAAUGGCUUCUUAUUCAAAGACAUCCCAUCCUUCCUUUGUAUUUGCUGUGAAGUUCAACACUCAGGACCCAAAUCUCUGUCCUUCAUGGUUCUGUGUCUCCAAUCUGGGGGUGGUGACUCCCAGCUCAAGCCUGGGCAGUGACUGUUCCAGGAGGUUCUCUGGAAUAUCCUCUUCAUGCCCCACAGAUGGUUUCCCAAGGCACACAGAACCUAAACCCACAACAUGAGGACAAACCCUACACCCAUUCAGAAACAAACCUGACAACAUUAGGAGCAGUGAGGGGGCAUAAAAGUAAGGCUUUCAUUUUAAAAUUUCUCUUCCCUGCCCUCAUAAAUCUAACAUUGCUUGUUCUUUGCUCUUCCUUCCUUGAAAUUGAGUCACACAAACACUGCUGUUAUGGUGCUGUAUUUAUUUAGUGUUUAGGUCUAGUGGGCCCAGCCAAGAUGAGGACCCUGUUCAAAUCUAUCAUGAUCUGCAGGUAAAAGCAGAGACUGCAGCACUACCAAACGUGGCAGGACUGUUGCAUCAGUUUGACAGGUGCUGAGGAACACUUGCACAACUUUGGAUGAAGCUGCUGGGUGACAGGGCACUGAAACACAGAAGCAGAGGGAGGACUGGAGAUAUUUUUUUCCUUUCCCUUUGCAAAACACUUUUUUAUACUUUAGAAGGAAAUUUCCACCAAGUAAGCUUGGCCACAGCUAGAUUAAAUCUGGUAAAAAGUGGCUCAGGCUCUGGUUAGAGAAUGGUGACUCCACCAAUCUCUCUGAUCAUGUCACUUUCUGGGGUCAUGGAGGAUGGGGCACUGUACCAGAACAUUCAGCUACACUGGUAAAAUUCAUAUUUCAUCAUUCUGGAGCACAUUACUAAUUGAAAUCACUUCUGGACUACAAAUGCCUUUCUGUUUUGGCCUGCCAAGUUUAGCUCUUCUCUGGAGCAGAAGUCCAGCUGAGUCCAAAAUCAAAGCCUAGCUCUUUCCAGGGUCCCUACUUCACCACUGCUGUCAACAGGGAAUUGCUUGUGCUAUGUGAAAUAUCAGUAAACAAUAAGAACUUUAAACUUUGGACCCCAGUUUUGUGGUUCAGGGGGUUUUCUCAGCUGGUCCUUCUCUGGUGUCUGUUACUCCUGUGACUGCAUUUACAGCAGGAAGCAACUGCUGGAUCUGCCACUCUGACUAGGGGAUUUUGGAGCAAAAUUCUUUCACCUGUCACACACCAUAACAAUGUUCCAAGCUGCAGUCCUAUAGCCUCAUGCUGUGACCUUGUUGAAGCUUCUAAUGUGAAGCCAGGUCAGAUUUUGGACAGCAAUCUGCAAGGCAGAGCCAGAAUGCUGCAUGAGGCACCAUUUGGGAAUCAGCAGGAGGUGUGAUUCCUCAAGUCAGUCUUGAACUGGUUCCACAGCAUGGUGGAGUAUUGCUUUCCUGGCAGGAAAGACAGGCAACCUCAAUCCCAGCCAUCUGAGGAUAUUGAAAAGCUCUUUCUCCAGGAACAGUCAUUAUCUCUAAUACCCUGCUUAAGUUUAAACUUGGGUAAUUCCUUUCAUCUGACCUAAAAAAAAAGAUUCUCAGGUGGGUUUUUCCUAGGUACACUAUUUUUUCAUGCUUUCUGUAGUAAACAGCUUUGUAGGAGUGCUGCACACUGUUAAACAGAUGCUCUGUUGCACCCUGAAAGACAGAUGCAAUUUGGAGGUGGGUCAUUAUCAGUUGAGAAGCUCUGGGGCUCAGCUGCUGCAGGCAGGAGGUGAUCAUUAAUAGCAGGGCUGUGCAGCAGCAUUGAUGAGGAUGCAUGGUAUUUGUGAGAUAUUUGAAUAAUUAGUGCUGGGAUGCACACACCUCUCCUGGAGAAAACACCAGGCUGCUUUACCAAUGUCUGUCCAUGUAAAUGCUGUGACAGACAGCCAGAAUUCCUGGUGUAACUCAUGCUAGCUUUAGUACCAGUGAGUCCUGGUGGUGCAGGGUAUCUGAAAGAAGCCUUGCUUUUCCCUGCAGCCUCCUGUUUGAUUAGGGGCCCUACAUUAGGUCAGAGAUCUCCUGUUGUUUCCCAUUUCUGGAGUAUCUGAAGACUUGUCUCCUUGUGUUAAUACUUCUUUUUUCUUCAGGUUCUUUCUUAGCCCUUUAAUCUUCACUGUAUGUUUUUCCUGACAGAAAUUUCUUACUACUAUUUUUGGUUUUAGUGGACUUGAGAGUUUAAUGGAUGCAUUUAGAACAUCUGAAUAAAUCAUUAUGGAAAGAGUUUUAAGAAAGGAGAUAGUUGCUUCUUCUUGUUUCUGUAAUGGAAAAAAAGCAAACCCAACAAAAUUUUUCAAAAGCUAUCUUCAAUCCUUGCCAGACUUUGAAGGGGAAUAUGAUGUGGUGCCUGAGAAACAACUGAUUUAAAUUCAAAUUUAACUUCGAACCUAAUGAAAACUCAGCUAUGCAGCCAAAAUUCUGUGUGGCCUCAUACAGGACCCACUUUCUGAGCAUCCCUUGGAAGUAAGAUCAGAGGGUCUGACCGAUGGUGCUUUGUUUUUUAUGGUGUUCAUCUGAUUUAACAUGGGAACAACUGAAUCUCUGUCUUUUGUAAUGAACCUGUCCUUGACAGAACAUCCCUUCCAAAGGGCAGAAACACAGAAGCAUUGCCAACCACUGAAAAUUUCUCUACUGCAUCCCCCUUCUGCAGUUUCUUGUCCUGCCUGCCAGUAACACCAACACAAGUUAAGCCUUCCCCAAUGCCUCUCAAAUCAGUUUCACUGCCCUUGGCUGUACCACAGUCCUU